GUGUCAGCAGCCGCGGUAAUACGUAGGUGACAAGCGUUAUCCGGAAUUACUGGGCGUAAAGCGCACGCAGGCGGCGCAGUAAGUCUGAUGUGAAAUCUCCCGGCUUAACUGGGAGGGGUCAUUGGAAACUGCAGUGCUUGAGGCGGUGAGAGGGGUGUAGAAUUCCCGGUGUAGUGGUGGAAUGCGUAGAUAUCGGGAGGAAUACCAGUGGCGAAAGCGGCACCCUGGCACUAGCCUGACGCUCAUGUGCGAAGGCGUGGGGAGCGAACGGGAUUAGAUACCCCGGUAGUCCACGCGGUAAACGAUGAAUACUAGGUGUAGGAGGAGUGAAAUCCUUCUGUGCCGAAGCAAACGCGCUAAGUAUUCCGCCUGGGGAGUACGGCCGCAAGGCUAAA
RNAcentral lists this ribosomal RNA (395 nucleotides) under uncultured bacterium. Its description in RNAcentral is "bacterial SSU rRNA". It matches the Rfam family "Bacterial small subunit ribosomal RNA", at positions 505 to 898 of the family's 1533-position model. The record is from RNAcentral.